AGAUAUAUGCAAUUAAAUAUUUGAAUAUAUAAAUAAAUAAUAACAUAAAUGUAUAUUCGGUCGACACCUAAGACGUUCAAACUUCAAACACAUUCAACACAACACAAAACCUAACAACAAAAAUUCCUAACAAUUCUUCUUACAAGAUUCAUUAAGAGGGGGACACGGUAUUAGCCGGACCAGCAACCGCUCCAGUUUCUGCGCUCUACUUGACAGUCGCCCUAUGGAUAUCUUACAAUUACGAACACCACUACUCUAGUCAUCGCUCUAAGCGAUGGCCGAUAAACGAGAAGCCUCACGGUGCAUGAGCUCACUUUGCUUGUGAUUUGUUCCUGUCGUCCAUCAUACCGAUCUGCCAGAUGCAUCGCGGGUUGUCUUUACGACUCCCGGGCCACCACAUCUCGGCAGACAGACAACAGGUUCAAAAACACGAAUGCGGCUUUUUUUUUUAGCCAAACAGAUUUAUUCGAUGUCACAGUCCACCAGGCAAUGUGUCCGUCGCAAACUUCCUGUUCAUUUUUGUUUUGAACGGCAGUGACUUACAUUCACUUGCGACAUCGAAUAGUGACAAAAUGCUCAACUGUAAUUUGAACACCAAAACGUUCGACACAAAGGCAAACAAGGAAAUAACAGCUGAAAUUUCGUUCAACCAUACGUAAUGGAACAUGUGUAGAUGACUGGAUCCAGUUUUACGGGAGUUAAUUAAACUCGGGCCCAUACGGAGACUAACCUACCAAGAGCUCUUGUUAAGGGUCCCCGGGACAUAAACAAUAAGGAGAUUUCCACAAAUCGCUCGACCAAAUACGGUGGACUGACGGGACCCCCGCGUCACCCACUAAGGGUUAAUCUGCUGGAACUGAACAGCUGAUUGCAGAUUUCGGUUCGUGAAAGGUGUUGGUGUUUUUACAUGUUUAGUUCAAUGGCCAAGAUUUUAUGUUAAACUGUUUAAGCUAAUAAUAAAUACUAAAUACUA
Long non-coding RNA from Drosophila pseudoobscura, 973 nucleotides. RefSeq lists it as uncharacterized. The record is from RefSeq and is a predicted model, not a curated record. NCBI's taxonomy places the organism in Eukaryota, Metazoa, Arthropoda, Insecta, Diptera, Drosophilidae. The transcript is spliced from 3 exons.